RNAcentral lists this ribosomal RNA (433 nucleotides) under uncultured bacterium. RNAcentral describes it as "partial 16S ribosomal RNA". It matches the Rfam family "Bacterial small subunit ribosomal RNA", at positions 29 to 507 of the family's 1533-position model. The record is from RNAcentral.
AACGAACGCUGGCGGCAUGCCUAACACAUGCAGGUCGAACGAGACCUUCGGGUCUAGUGGCGCACGGGUGCGUAACGCGUGGGAACCUGCCCUUAGGUUCGGAAUAACUCCCCGAAAGGGGUGCUAAUACCGGAUAAUGUCUUCGGACCAAAGAUUUAUCGCCUUUGGAUGGGCCCGCGUUGGAUUAGCUAGUUGGUAGGGUAAAAGCCUACCAAGGCGACGAUCCAUAGCUGGUCUGAGAGGAUGAUCAGCCACACUGGGACUGAGACACGGCCCAGACUCCUACGGGAGGCAGCAGUGGGGAAUAUUGGACAAUGGGCGAAAGCCUGAUCCAGCAAUGCCACGUGAGUGAUGAAGGCCUUAGGGUUGUAAAGCUCUUUUACCCGGGAUGAUAAUGACAGUACCGGGAGAAUAAGCUCCGGCUAACUCCGUG